This 435-nucleotide ribosomal RNA is filed under the name uncultured bacterium. Its description in RNAcentral is "partial 16S ribosomal RNA". It matches the Rfam family "Bacterial small subunit ribosomal RNA", at positions 29 to 507 of the family's 1533-position model. The record is from RNAcentral.
AGCGAACGCUGGCGGCAGGCUUAACACAUGCAAGUCGAGCGGGCAUAGCAAUAUGUCUUCGGCUGACGGGUGGGUAACGCGUGGGAACGUACCUUUUGAUUCGGAUCUACUGUGGGAAACUUCAUCUCAUACCGGAUAUUCCCUUACUAGGAAAGAUUUAUCGCCGAAAGAUCGGCCCGGUUCUGAUUACCUACUUGGUUAGGUAAUGCCUCACCAAGUCGACGAUCAGUAGCUGGGCUGAGAGGAGAAUCAGCCACAUUGGAACUGAGACACGGCCCAAAAACAUACGGGAGGGAGCAGAGGGGAAUAUUGGACAAUGGGCGCAAGCCUGGACCAGCCAUGCCGGGUGAGGGAUGAAGGCCGGAGGGUAGUAAAGCUAGUUUGGGCGGGAAGAUAAUGACGGUACCGCAAGAAUAAGCCCCGGCUAACUUCGUG